GAACCAAUAUAAAAACUUGUGUUUGCAUUCCUAUAUCCCUUAUCUUUUACAUUACAGUUGACUUUAUUUUUUACGCAGUCAACUACGUAUUUUCCGCUGCAUACAUAUUCUGAUUGCUUGCAUUUUAAGAAAGUUUAAAAAGAUUUAAACUUUGAUUACAAGAUUGCGAAAAGAACUUGUUUUUGAAACUACAUCAAUU
RNAcentral lists this long non-coding RNA (199 nucleotides) under Vigna radiata. RNAcentral's name for it is "long non-coding RNA (VRAD_LNC002770)". Lineage: Eukaryota; Viridiplantae; Streptophyta; Magnoliopsida; Fabales; Fabaceae. The record is from RNAcentral.